This 1293-nucleotide long non-coding RNA is filed under the name Mytilus galloprovincialis (Mediterranean mussel). The record is from RNAcentral. Lineage: Eukaryota; Metazoa; Mollusca; Bivalvia; Mytilida; Mytilidae.
AUGUUGCGCACAGCAUGACGACUGUUACGGAGACCAGAAAAUAGCACACUGUGGAAUUUAUUCUCCGAAAUAUUCCUGGUUUGUCAGCGAAAUAGGAAUAACGUGUAGUAAGUAGAUCUAUAAUCAUUUCUCGUCGUUUUCAGAGGACAAAUCCGGGUUAUUUCGUACAAUGUCAGUUUUAUUUCUCAUGGUCGCGUGGGCCUGAAUAUGUAGUUUGUUUUAUUUAGGCCUAUGUAUUUAUGGAAAAGAAGUUAAGGCAAUAUCAUAAUGCAUCUAUACACGAAGUAUGAAGCAUACAGGUGUUCCACCUUCUAAAAUAUAAAGUAAAUUACUUAACGCCGCCGCCGCCGUCGGAUCGAUAUCCCUAUGUCGAACAUAGUUGCGACAGAAUUCGCAGGCUAUAGAAAACCCAUAGCCGUAGUGGAUACAAUGGUGUGAUGGCAGCACGAUCGGACACUACAUUCAAAAUACUAUUGUUCAAAAAUCGUGUCAUCAUAAAAGUGCAUGAAAUAUUUGACAUUUGACGUUAUUUAAGCAAAUCAGUUUAUAAAAAAAAAUCAUAGGGUACAAUUAACCAAAUAGAAACACGGUUAUAUCUGGAGUGGAUAAAAACGGAUUUUAUGAUAUUUUAUUACGUUUUCCUACAUGUGUUGAUCUGUGUAGAUGAUUGUACGACAUUUUUGUUGGCAUAUAUAUAGUGACAAAGUAUCUAAAUACAGCGCCUUGAACAUUGUUCAAUAGUAGGGUCGGCAACACUCUACGACAUGUUAGGUUUUACUACAUAUUAGAAAAACUUAUAUAUCUAAAUGAUGUCGAGAUAUAUGACAAUGACAUCAUCUGUGUGUGAUCCUCAUCUGUUGUACAACCAAAAUGUCAAAAUACCUUCGUGUUUAACAUUUCAAGUAUGCCAAAUCCCGACCAUGGGAGAACUUUAUAACCAUUGGCCCAAUCAACUUGUGAAGGUCGUUAAACACAACCAUCAUCAAACAUGCGGGCAUGCAAAGAAAGAAAUUUCGAUAGGAAAACGAUACAUGUUGAAGGAUUCACAUGCCUUUAUUUUUGUCUGAAAAAAAUAAAGUUUUAUUUUUCUCCUCGGAAUUUCUCCUAAGUUACGAUGGAAGUAUCUAUAAAACUUAUGUAUUCCAUCUAAUUAAUUUGCAGGUGACGCACCAGACGACUUUUGCAGACGCCAUCUUUGUGAAUGCGAUAAGAAAUGCUCUCAAUGCUUUGCAGAAAACCAGGAGUUUUACCAACCAACUUUAGUCAGGAAAGUCCAUAGUGUUGCCAGCCGAC